CCUACGGGGGGCAGCAGUAGGGAAUAUUGCUCAAUGGGGGAAACCCUGACGCAGCAACGCCGCGUGGAGGAUGAAGGUUUUCGGAUUGUAAACUCCUUUUGUUAGAGAAGAUGAUGACGGUAUCUAACGAAUAAGCACCGGCUAACUCCGUGCCAGCAGCCGCGGUAAUACGGAGGGUGCAAGCGUUACUCGGAAUCACUGGGCGUAAAGCGCGCGUAGGCGGGAUAGCAAGUCAGAUGUGAAAUCCUAUGGCUUAACCAUAGAACUGCAUUUGAAACUGGUAUUCUAGAGUAUGGGAGAGGUAGGUGGAAUUCUUGGUGUAGGGGUAAAAUCCGUAGAGAUCAAGAGGAAUACUCAUUGCGAAGGCGACCUGCUAGAACAUAACUGACGCUGAUGCGCGAAAGCGUGGGGAGCAAACAGGAUUAGAUACCCGGGUAGUC
Molecule: ribosomal RNA, 440 nt
Filed under: uncultured bacterium
Lineage: Bacteria
Description: partial 16S ribosomal RNA
Rfam family: Bacterial small subunit ribosomal RNA
Source: RNAcentral